CCGUGAAAGCGUGGCCUAU
This 19-nucleotide small nuclear RNA is filed under the name Arabidopsis thaliana (thale cress). RNAcentral's name for it is "snRNA_15688". The record is from RNAcentral. Lineage: Eukaryota; Viridiplantae; Streptophyta; Magnoliopsida; Brassicales; Brassicaceae.